RNAcentral lists this transfer RNA (87 nucleotides) under Talaromyces pinophilus. RNAcentral describes it as "tRNA-Ser (CGA) (tRNA-Ser-CGA-1-1)". It matches the Rfam family "tRNA". From Rfam's summary of the family: Transfer RNA (tRNA) molecules are approximately 80 nucleotides in length. Their secondary structure includes four short double-helical elements and three loops (D, anti-codon, and T loops). Further hydrogen bonds mediate the characteristic L-shaped molecular structure. tRNAs have two regions of fundamental functional importance: the anti-codon, which is responsible for specific mRNA codon recognition, and the 3' end, to which the tRNAs corresponding amino acid is attached (by aminoacyl-tRNA synthetases). tRNAs cope with the degeneracy of the genetic code in two manners: having more than one tRNA (with a specific anti-codon) for a particular amino acid; and 'wobble' base-pairing, i.e. permitting non-standard base-pairing at the 3rd anti-codon position. The record is from RNAcentral. Lineage: Eukaryota; Fungi; Ascomycota; Eurotiomycetes; Eurotiales; Trichocomaceae.
GGCAAGGUGGCGGAGUGGUUAACGCGCCAGCCUCGAAUUCUGACGGCUAACAUAUACAAAACUAGUGUUCAAAUCACACCCUUGUCG